ACACUGGUGGUUCAGUGGUAGAAUUCUUGUCUUCCAUGCGGGAGACCUGAGUUCAAUUCCUGAUCAAUGUA
This 71-nucleotide transfer RNA is filed under the name Loxodonta africana (African savanna elephant). It matches the Rfam family "tRNA". Rfam says of the family: Transfer RNA (tRNA) molecules are approximately 80 nucleotides in length. Their secondary structure includes four short double-helical elements and three loops (D, anti-codon, and T loops). Further hydrogen bonds mediate the characteristic L-shaped molecular structure. tRNAs have two regions of fundamental functional importance: the anti-codon, which is responsible for specific mRNA codon recognition, and the 3' end, to which the tRNAs corresponding amino acid is attached (by aminoacyl-tRNA synthetases). tRNAs cope with the degeneracy of the genetic code in two manners: having more than one tRNA (with a specific anti-codon) for a particular amino acid; and 'wobble' base-pairing, i.e. permitting non-standard base-pairing at the 3rd anti-codon position. The record is from Rfam by way of RNAcentral. Lineage: Eukaryota; Metazoa; Chordata; Mammalia; Proboscidea; Elephantidae.